GGAUGCUGCAUUUUUCUGCUUCUGAGUUCUGAUGCAAUGACAAUUGAACUGAACUUAUCAUGAUGAUUUCUAGUGGCAAAUCACAUUGCAAGUGGUUUCAAUCGGUCUCCAUUUGACACUAUUUCUUGGACUGAGUACACUGCAACUAGCAGAAAUCUUCAAAGUAACAGCCAGACUAUGGAAAUGAUGUUAGACAAAAAGCAAAUUUGAGUGAUUGUCUCAUUCGAGUUCAAAAUGGGUUGUAAAGCAGUGGAGACAACUUGCAACAUCAGCAGCGCAUUUGGCCCAGAAACUGCUACUGAACGUGCAGUGCGGUGCUGGUUCAAGAAGUUUUGCAAAGGAGAUGAGCCGUGAAGACGAGGAGCAUCGUGCUGGCCACUGGAGGUUGACAACGACCACUUGGGAGCCAUCAUCAAAGCUGAUUCUCUUACAACUACACAAGAAGUUGCUGAAGAACUCAAUGUGGACCGUUCUACGGUGGUUCGGCAUUUGAAGCAAAUUGGAAAGGUGAAAAAGCUCAGUAAGUGGGCACCUCAUGAGCUGAGCGAGAAUAAAAAAAAA
This is a long non-coding RNA of Sapajus apella (tufted capuchin), 561 nucleotides long. RefSeq lists it as uncharacterized. The record is from RefSeq and is a predicted model, not a curated record. NCBI's taxonomy places the organism in Eukaryota, Metazoa, Chordata, Mammalia, Primates, Cebidae. The transcript has 2 exons.